UGGGGAAUAUUGCACAAUGGAGGGAACUCUGAUGCAGCGACGCCGCGUGAGUGAUGAAGGAAUUCGUUUCGUAAAACUCUGUUCUAUGGGAAGAAAAGGACUGUACCAUAGGAGAAAGCUCCGGCUAAAUACGUGCCAGCAGCCGCGGUAAUACGUAUGGAGCGAGCGUUGUCCGGAAUUAUUGGGCGUAAAGGGUGCGCAGGCGGCUUUACAAGUUGGAUGUGAAAUAUUGUGGCUCAACCACAAACGUGCAUCCAAAACUGCAAAGCUUGAGUUAAGGAUCGGUAAGUGGAAUUCCUGGUGUAGCGGUGGAAUGCGUAGAUAUCAGGAGGAAUACCGGUGGCGAAGGCGACUUACUGGACUUUAACUGACGCUCCGGCACGAAAGCGUGGGGAGCAAACUGG
Molecule: ribosomal RNA, 404 nt
Filed under: Fusobacteriota bacterium
Lineage: Bacteria; Fusobacteriati; Fusobacteriota
Description: Fusobacteria bacterium partial 16S ribosomal RNA
Rfam family: Bacterial small subunit ribosomal RNA
Source: RNAcentral